GCCCUUAUGGGACAGUGGUAGUCCGCAUCACUCGUACAAGACUCUUGUGUGUGACAUGAUGAAGUCCACGGUUCGAUCCCGUGUGGGGGCA
RNAcentral lists this transfer RNA (91 nucleotides) under Aspergillus candidus. Its description in RNAcentral is "tRNA-Thr". The record is from RNAcentral. RNAcentral also lists the same sequence under 1 other name. Lineage: Eukaryota; Fungi; Ascomycota; Eurotiomycetes; Eurotiales; Aspergillaceae.